This 253-nucleotide ribosomal RNA is filed under the name uncultured bacterium. RNAcentral describes it as "partial 16S ribosomal RNA". It matches the Rfam family "Bacterial small subunit ribosomal RNA", at positions 524 to 776 of the family's 1533-position model. The record is from RNAcentral.
UACGGAGGGAGCUAGCGUUGUUCGGAAUUACUGGGCGUAAAGCGCGCGUAGGCGGCUUUGUAAGUUAGAGGUGAAAGCCCGGAGCUCAACUCCGGAACUGCCUUUAAAACUGCAUCGCUUGAAUCCAGGAGAGGUGAGUGGAAUUCCGAGUGUAGAGGUGAAAUUCGUAGAUAUUCGGAAGAACACCAGUGGCGAAGGCGGCUCACUGGACUGGUAUUGACGCUGAUGUGCGAAAGCGUGGGGAGCAAACAGG